UGGUUGUGACCCCUGUAGCGUUCAUAGCGAUGUCGCUUUUUGAUCCUUCGAUGUCGGCUCUUCCUAUCAUUGUGAAGCAAAAUUCACCAAGCGUUGGAUUGUUCACCCACUAAUAGGGAACGUGAGCUGGGCUUAGACCGUCGUGAGACAGGUU
This 154-nucleotide non-coding RNA is filed under the name Gallus gallus (chicken). RNAcentral's name for it is "Eukaryotic large subunit ribosomal RNA". It matches the Rfam family "Eukaryotic large subunit ribosomal RNA", at positions 2835 to 2984 of the family's 3401-position model. The record is from Rfam by way of RNAcentral. Lineage: Eukaryota; Metazoa; Chordata; Aves; Galliformes; Phasianidae.